This is a long non-coding RNA of Myotis myotis, 426 nucleotides long. RefSeq lists it as uncharacterized. NCBI's taxonomy places the organism in Eukaryota, Metazoa, Chordata, Mammalia, Chiroptera, Vespertilionidae. The record is from RefSeq and is a predicted model, not a curated record. The transcript has 3 exons.
AGGAACAGGAUGGAAAAGCUACCCAUGAUAAAAUAUAAGAAGAGAGAGGUAAACUGAAGAAGGGUCCAGGAUAGUAUUUCCAGACAGCACAAGGAUCCCAAAGGAACAAAUGGCCUCAUGGUGAAAAUCAAACCCAAGGUGCUGCCAGCAAAAUGAGAUCACAGGGGGAUAUUUUCUCGUUGAGCCCUGCCAACCAUAUUCUCUGCUGGAGAGACCACAUUGAGACAUUCUGGAGAGAAGAGGGGACCAAAUGAAGUCAGCUUUCUAGUCAUUCCUUCCAAGGCUCAACGCAUGUGAGUGAAGCUAAAUGAAUACCUCUAGGUUACCUAAAUUGACUCUGUGUGGCACAGAAGGGGCUAGCCUAGCCUUGACUGGAUUCCCAACUUACAAAAUUGUGAGAAAUAAAAUGUUUGUUGAUCUAAGCCA